RNAcentral lists this ribosomal RNA (441 nucleotides) under uncultured bacterium. RNAcentral describes it as "partial 16S ribosomal RNA". It matches the Rfam family "Bacterial small subunit ribosomal RNA", at positions 338 to 795 of the family's 1533-position model. The record is from RNAcentral.
CCUACGGGAGACAGCAGUCGGGAAUAUUGCGCAAUGGAGGAAACUCUGACGCAGUGACGCCGCGUGCAGGAAGAAGGUUUUAGGAUUGUAAACUGCUUUAGACAGGGAAGAAAAAAGACAGUACCUGUAGAAUAAGCUCCGGCUAACUACGUGCCAGCAGCCGCGGUAAUACGUAGGGAGCAAGCGUUAUCCGGAUUUAUUGGGUGUAAAGGGUGCGUAGGCGGAGAAGUAAGUUAGAGGUGAAAUGCCUCGGCUUAACUGGGGAACUGCAACUAAUACUGUUGCUCUAGAGAAUUGGAGAGGUAGGCGGAAUGUAUGGUGUAGCGGUGAAAUGCUUAGAGAUUAUAAAGAACACCGAUUGCGAAGGCAGCUUACUAAUCUAUAUCUGACGUUGAGGCACGAAAGCGUGGGGAGCAAACAGGAUUAGAUACCCUUGUAGUC